AGAGUUUGAUCCUGGCUCAGAAUGAACGCUGGCGGCGUGCCUAACACAUGCAAGUCGUACGAGAAAUCCCGAGCUUGCUUGGGAGAGUAAAGUGGCGCACGGGUGAGUAGCGCGUGGGUAACCCACCUUCGAAUCUGGGAUAACUCCGCGAAAGCGGUGCUAAUACCGGAUAAGACCACAUUCCGUUCGCGGAAAGAGGUAAAAGCUGACCUCUCCAUGGAAGUUAGCGUUCGAGGACGGGCCCGCGUUGGAUUAGCUAGUUGGUGAGGUAAAGGCUCACCAAGGCUGCGAUCUAUAGCUGGUCUGAGAGGAUGAUCAGCCACACUGGGACUGAGACACGGCCCAGACUCCUACGGGAGGCAGCAGUGGGGAAUAUUGGACAAUGGGCGCAAGCCUGAUCCAGCCAUGCCGCGUGAGUGAAGAAGGCCUUAGGGUUGUAAAGCUCUUUCACUGGUGAAGAUGAUGACGGUAACCAGAGAAGAAGCCCCGGCUAACUCCGUGCCAGCAGCCGCGGUAAUACGGAGGGGGCAAGCGUUGUUCGGAAUUACUGGGCGUAAAGGGCGCGUA
RNAcentral lists this ribosomal RNA (567 nucleotides) under uncultured bacterium. RNAcentral describes it as "bacterial SSU rRNA". It matches the Rfam family "Bacterial small subunit ribosomal RNA", at positions 8 to 573 of the family's 1533-position model. The record is from RNAcentral.